RNAcentral lists this ribosomal RNA (270 nucleotides) under uncultured archaeon. RNAcentral describes it as "partial 16S ribosomal RNA". It matches the Rfam family "Bacterial small subunit ribosomal RNA", at positions 527 to 796 of the family's 1533-position model. The record is from RNAcentral.
CGAGGGUGCAAACGUUGCUCGGAUUUACUGGGCGUAAAGCGCGUGCAGGCGGACUCGCAAGUCGGUUGUGAAAUCCCUGGGCUCAACCUAGGAACUGCAUCCGAAACUGCUUGUCUUGAGUAAUGGAGAGGGUGGCGGAAUUCCCGGUGUAGAGGUGAAAUUCGUAGAUAUCGGGAGGAACAUCAGUGGCGAAGGCGGCCACCUGGACAUUUACUGACGCUGAGACGCGAAAGCGUGGGGAGCAAACAGGAUUAGAUACCCGAGUAGUCC